AUGGAUCAGGAGCUGAUCGAGCACCUUGAGGCCAAAGUGAGUGCUGACAGCGCGAGAUUUCAGUCUCUCAUCGAUUUGUUCAUACCAACCAUCGACAGCGAGCACAACAUAUGUUACACCCAACCUGAGAAACUUCCAGGUAUCACACUAAGUGGUCUAAGGAAGCAUUUCUUCCAGCGCAAUUCCAGGGCGUUCAAAAGGGGCGCGUGGACAUGUCGCAAGAUACAGUCGGAGUGCGGCAUGCACGCGAUGUGGCACAAGACCGGCAAUACCUUGCCGGUGAUGGUCAACGGCCGGCAGAGGGGCAGCAAAAAAGGUUCUGGUGCUGCACACCAACAAGAACUUCGACCAGCAGAGGACCAACUGGGUGAUGCACCAGUACCACCUCGGGGACCUGGAGCAAGAGAAGGAGCGGGAGCUGGUCCUCUACAAGAUUUUCUACCAGACGAACACUAG
This 456-nucleotide ribosomal RNA is filed under the name Triticum aestivum (bread wheat). RNAcentral's name for it is "partial small subunit ribosomal RNA". The record is from RNAcentral. Lineage: Eukaryota; Viridiplantae; Streptophyta; Magnoliopsida; Poales; Poaceae.